AAGAAAGGACUAAAAAGUAUAAUAGGCGCUUAAAGCCUAGGCAUUAAUUCUGCCACCUUAAA
RNAcentral lists this transfer RNA (62 nucleotides) under Smaragdinella calyculata. Its description in RNAcentral is "tRNA-Leu". Lineage: Eukaryota; Metazoa; Mollusca; Gastropoda; Cephalaspidea; Smaragdinellidae. The record is from RNAcentral.